GGAGGGGUAGGAAAGCGGUUUAAUCCUCCGGUCUUGAAAACCGGCGUGGUGAAAGCCACCGUGGGUUCGAAUCCCACCCCCUCCGCCA
RNAcentral lists this transfer RNA (88 nucleotides) under Nitrospirales bacterium. RNAcentral's name for it is "tRNA-Ser". It matches the Rfam family "tRNA". From Rfam's summary of the family: Transfer RNA (tRNA) molecules are approximately 80 nucleotides in length. Their secondary structure includes four short double-helical elements and three loops (D, anti-codon, and T loops). RNAcentral also lists the same sequence under 1 other name. The record is from RNAcentral. Lineage: Bacteria; Pseudomonadati; Nitrospirota; Nitrospiria; Nitrospirales.